This 1267-nucleotide long non-coding RNA is filed under the name Homo sapiens (human). RNAcentral's name for it is "HSALNT0294201". The record is from RNAcentral. Lineage: Eukaryota; Metazoa; Chordata; Mammalia; Primates; Hominidae.
AGCCGCGCGGCCAGGGUAACCGCGGGCUCGCGUGGGUGCUGCUGGCUACCUGUACAACUUCGUGCUCCGGCGUCACCAGCUAGCUAAAUCCUCGCAACGGUUCUGGGCGAUAGGGGCCGUUUUUGUCCCCCUUCUUCAGCAGAUGAGGGAAUUUGUUUCAAAAAGUUGUUACCUGCUCACGGAAACAGACGUCCUAAGCUAUUAACACAAUCUCCAGCUGUGUUCUAACCAAGACAGGAACCGAAGGGAACAGUAAAAAAUCAUUUUCCGUGCUGCGCUGGGUCUUUUUCUUUGGAAUUUUAAGAAGUUCUGUGAGCUAAAGACCAAUGACUUCCUACAAAUCUUGAAGGACUCCAGGACUCAUCACCAUAGCAGACCAUGAUUCAUGGAAAAAACUCUGACAAGCACAGAUUUCUGAAAACUUUAAGGUCAUACCACUGGACUCGAGAAAUAUUACUGAACACUUGUUCUGAAGGCUGAUCCUAGACAGCAAGACUCAGAGAAUUGAGAGAAGACAAAAACAUUCAUCUAAUCGGGGCGGCUGGGUGGGGUGAAGUGAACCCAGCCUGAUUACCCUUAGCAUCUAACUCCACAGAAACUCUGCUCUCUAUUUUCUCAAUCUUCUCCAAUUCUUUAUGAAGGGGUUCAGGAAAUGCCGCCCCAAAAUAUGGUGCUUUGGUGUAAUACUUUGAGCUGAAGACACUUGAAAACAGUAUAUGCAGGGAGACGCUUUCUCUGAACUCCCCUUAUCUGUCUAAAGAUAGAUACCGCAAAGGAACUCAAUUUGUCAUCAAUUUUCCAUCAGUGAAACUCUUCCAGGAGUUUCAUCCACCAGUGAAGCUUAUCUCAAUCACAAGAGAAGAGACUAGAAGCCCACACCACACUUAGACAAAUGUCACAAACGAUCAUCUGUUCUUCUAAGGGCCAUUCAUCUUUUCCCAAAAUCAUUUACUCUGCCUGAAAUUGGCUACAUCCCUGGCUUCCUUCUCGCCUAUGUAGAGGGUAUAUAAGCUCCUAAAUCUCCCGGUUUUUCAGGUAAAGAAGAUAAAAUUUGGGAACUUAAAACUUGGCAAAGAAGGAAAUCCUUUUGGCAAUAUCAUAAAGAGGCCCAUUGUCACCAGAAGUGUAUAGUUUCUAACAGAUUUAUACAUUGGAAGUUGAUUUUGCUCCUAAUUUCAACAUGCCUAAUGAAAUAAAUAAUCAAAACAGUCUAAAAUUCUUCCUCCUCUCUGCCUCCUGCAAAAAGACAGCGUCUGGUAUUGUCCAC